CAGUAGCCGCGGUAAUACGUAGGGUGCAAGCGUUAAUCGGAAUUACUGGGCGUAAAGCGUGCGCAGGCGGUUAUAUAAGUCAGAUGUGAAAUCCCCGGGCUCAACCUGGGAACUGCAUUUGAGACUGUAUGGCUAGAGUGUGUCAGAGGGGGGUAGAAUUCCACGUGUAGCAGUGAAAUGCGUAGAUAUGUGGAGGAAUACCGAUGGCGAAGGCAGCCCCCUGGGAUAACACUGACGCUCAUGCACGAAAGCGUGGGGAGCAAACAGGAUUAGAGACCCCCGUAGUCCCUGUCUCUUAUAC
This 301-nucleotide ribosomal RNA is filed under the name uncultured bacterium. Its description in RNAcentral is "partial 16S ribosomal RNA". It matches the Rfam family "Bacterial small subunit ribosomal RNA", at positions 509 to 807 of the family's 1533-position model. The record is from RNAcentral.